RNAcentral lists this ribosomal RNA (250 nucleotides) under uncultured prokaryote. RNAcentral's name for it is "partial 16S ribosomal RNA". It matches the Rfam family "Bacterial small subunit ribosomal RNA", at positions 524 to 773 of the family's 1533-position model. The record is from RNAcentral.
UACGUAGGGAGCGAGCGUUGUCCGGAAUUACUGGGUGUAAAGGGAGCGUAGGCGGGACGGCAAGUCAGGUGUGAAAUACAUGGGCUCAACCCAUGGGCUGCACUUGAAACUGUUGUUCUUGAGUGAAGUAGAGGUAAGCGGAAUUCCUGGUGUAGCGGUGAAAUGCGUAGAUAUCAGGAGGAACACCGGUGGCGAAGGCGGCUUACUGGGCUUUUACUGACGCUGAGGCUCGAAAGCGUGGGGAGCAAAC